GACGAACGCUGGCGGCGUGCUUAACACAUGCAAGUCGAACGGAAAGGCCCUGCUUUUGUGGGGUGCUCGAGUGGCGAACGGGUGAGUAACACGUGAGUAACCUGCCCUUGACUUUGGGAUAACUUCAGGAAACUGGGGCUAAUACCGGAUAGGAGCUCCUGCUUCAUGGUGGGGGUUGGAAAGUUUCGGCGGUUGGGGAUGGACUCGCGGCUUAUCAGCUUGUUGGUGGGGUAGUGGCUUACCAAGGCUUUGACGGGUAGCCGGCCUGAGAGGGUGACCGGCCACAUUGGGACUGAGAUACGGCCCAGACUCCUACGGGAGGCAGCAGUGGGGAAUAUUGCACAAUGGGCGGAAGCCUGAUGCAGCAACGCCGCGUGCGGGAUGACGGCCUUCGGGUUGUAAACCGCUUUCGCCUGUGGCGAAGCGUGAGUGACGGUAAUGGGUAAAGAAGCACCGGCUAACUACGUG
This 468-nucleotide ribosomal RNA is filed under the name uncultured bacterium. RNAcentral's name for it is "partial 16S ribosomal RNA". It matches the Rfam family "Bacterial small subunit ribosomal RNA", at positions 28 to 507 of the family's 1533-position model. The record is from RNAcentral.